RNAcentral lists this ribosomal RNA (515 nucleotides) under Pseudovibrio sp. J2103c. RNAcentral's name for it is "bacterial SSU rRNA". It matches the Rfam family "Bacterial small subunit ribosomal RNA", at positions 153 to 699 of the family's 1533-position model. The record is from RNAcentral. Lineage: Bacteria; Pseudomonadati; Pseudomonadota; Alphaproteobacteria; Hyphomicrobiales; Stappiaceae.
GAAAAGACUGCUAAUACCCUAUGAGCCCUAUGGGGGAAAGAUUUAUCGCCAUGAGAUGUGCCCGCGUUAGAUUAGCUAGUUGGUAAGGUAAUGGCUUACCAAGGCGACGAUCUAUAGCUGGUCUGAGAGGAUGAUCAGCCACACUGGGACUGAGACACGGCCCAGACUCCUACGGGAGGCAGCAGUGGGGAAUAUUGGACAAUGGGGGCAACCCUGAUCCAGCCAUGCCGCGUGUGUGAUGACGGCCUUAGGGUUGUAAAGCACUUUCAGCAGUGAAGAUAAUGACAUUAACUGCAGAAGAAGCCCCGGCUAACUUCGUGCCAGCAGCCGCGGUAAUACGAAGGGGGCUAGCGUUGUUCGGAAUCACUGGGCGUAAAGAGUACGUAGGCGGACUGAUAAGUUAGGGGUGAAAUCCCAAGGCUCAACCUUGGAACUGCCUUUGAUACUGUCAGUCUUGAGAUCGAGAGAGGUGAGUGGAAACUCCCCAGUGUAAAGGUGAAAAUUCGUAGAUAUUC